GAUGAACGCUGGCGGCGUGCUUAACACAUGCAAGUCGAACGGAAAGGCCCAAGCUUGCUUGGGUACUCGAGUGGCGAACGGGUGAGUAACACGUGGGUGAUCUGCCCUGCACUUCGGGAUAAGCCUGGGAAACUGGGUCUAAUACCGGAUAGGACCUCCUUUUGGAUGGUGUGGUGGAAAGUUUUUCGGUGUGGGAUGAGCUCGCGGCCUAUCAGCUUGUUGGUGGGGUAAUGGCCUACCAAGGCGUCGACGGGUAGCCGGCCUGAGAGGGUGUACGGCCACAUUGGGACUGAGAUACGGCCCAGACUCCUACGGGAGGCAGCAGUGGGGAAUAUUGCACAAUGGGCGCAAGCCUGAUGCAGCGACGCCGCGUGGGGGAUGACGGCCUUCGGGUUGUAAACUCCUUUCGCUAGGGACGAAGCGCAAGUGACGGUACCUGGAGAAGAAGCACCGGCUAACUACGUG
This 465-nucleotide ribosomal RNA is filed under the name uncultured bacterium. Its description in RNAcentral is "partial 16S ribosomal RNA". It matches the Rfam family "Bacterial small subunit ribosomal RNA", at positions 28 to 507 of the family's 1533-position model. The record is from RNAcentral.